GACGAACGCUGGCGGCGUGCUUAACACAUGCAAGUCGAACGGAAAGGCCCUGCUUUUGUGGGGUGCUCGAGUGGCGAACGGGUGAGUAACACGUGAGUAACCUGCCCUUGACUUUGGGAUAACUUCAGGAAACUAGGGCUAAUACCGGAUAGGAGCUCCUGCUGCAUGGUGGGGGUUGGAAAGUUUCGGCGGUUGGGGAUGGACUCGCGGCUUAUCAGCUUGUUGGUGGGGUAGUGGCUUACCAAGGCUUUGACGGGUAGCCGGCCUGAGAGGGUGACCGGCCACAUUGGGACUGAGAUACGGCCCAGACUCCUACGGGAGGCAGCAGUGGGGAAUAUUGCACAAUGGGCGGAAGCCUGAUGCAGCAACGCCGCGUGCGGGAUGACGGCCUUCGGGUUGUAAACCGCUUUCGCCUGUGACGAAUCGUGAGUGACGGUAAUGGGUAAAGAAGCACCGGCUAACUACGUGCCAGCAGCCGCGGUGAUACGUAGGGUGCGAGCGUUGUCCGGAUUUAUUGGGCGUAAGGGCUCGUAGGUGGUUGAUCGCGUCGGAAGUGUAAUCUUGGGGCUUAACCCUGAGCGUGCUUUCGAUACGGGUUGACUUGAGGAAGGUAGGGGAGAAUGGAAUUCCUGGUGGAGCGGUGGAAUGCGCAGAUAUCAGGAGGAACACCAGUGGCGAAGGCGGUUCUCUGGGCCUUUCCUGACGCUGAGGAGCGAAAGCGUGGGGAGCGAACAGGCUUAGAUACCCUGGUAGUCCACGCUGUAAACGGUGGGUACUAGGUGUGGGGUCCAUUCCACGGGUUCCGUGCCGUAGCUAACGCUUUAAGUACCCCGCCUGGGGAGUACGGCCGCAAGGCUAAAACUCAAAGGAAUUGACGGGGCCCCGCACAAGCGGCGGAGCAUGCGGAUUAAUUCGAUGCAACGCGUAGAACCUUACCUGGGUUUGACAUGGAUCGGGAGUGCUCAGAGAUGGGUGUGCCUCUUUUGGGGUCGGUUCACAGGUGGUGCAUGGCUGUCGUCAGCUCGUGUCGUGAGAUGUUGGGUUAAGUCCCGCAACGAGCGCAACCCUUGUUCACUGUUGCCAGCACGUUAUGGUGGGGACUCAGUGGAGACCGCCGGGGUCAACUCGGAGGAAGGUGGGGAUGACGUCAAGUCAUCAUGCCCCUUACGUCCAGGGCUUCACGCAUGCUACAAUGGCUGGUACAGAGAGUGGCGAGCCUGUGAGGGUGAGCGAAUCUCGGAAAGCCGGUCUCAGUUCGGAUUGGGGUCUGCAACUCGACCUCAUGAAGUCGGAGUCGCUAGUAAUCGCAGAUCAGCAACGCUGCGGUGAAUACGUUCCCGGG
RNAcentral lists this ribosomal RNA (1342 nucleotides) under uncultured bacterium. Its description in RNAcentral is "16S ribosomal RNA". It matches the Rfam family "Bacterial small subunit ribosomal RNA", at positions 28 to 1378 of the family's 1533-position model. The record is from RNAcentral.